This 407-nucleotide ribosomal RNA is filed under the name uncultured bacterium. RNAcentral's name for it is "bacterial SSU rRNA". It matches the Rfam family "Bacterial small subunit ribosomal RNA", at positions 355 to 774 of the family's 1533-position model. The record is from RNAcentral.
UGGGGAAUAUUGCACAAUGGGCGCAAGCCUGAUGCAGCAACGCCGCGUGAGGGACGACGGCCUUCGGGUUGUAAACCUCUUUUGGCAGGGAAGAAGCGAAAGUGACGGUACCUGCAGAAAAAGCACCGGCUAACUACGUGCCAGCAGCCGCGGUGAUACGUAGGGUGCAAGCGUUGUCCGGAAUUAUUGGGCGUAAAGAGCUCGUAGGCGGUUUGUCGCGUCUGCUGUGAAACCCCGAGGCUCAACCUCGGGCCUGCAGUGGGUACGGGCAAACUAGAGUGCGGUAGGGGAGAUUGGAAUUCCUGGUGUAGCGGUGGAAUGCGCAGAUAUCAGGAGGAACACCGAUGGCGAAGGCAGAUCUCUGGGCCGUAACUGACGCUGAGGAGCGAAAGCAUGGGGAGCGAACA